This 437-nucleotide ribosomal RNA is filed under the name uncultured bacterium. Its description in RNAcentral is "bacterial SSU rRNA". It matches the Rfam family "Bacterial small subunit ribosomal RNA", at positions 29 to 486 of the family's 1533-position model. The record is from RNAcentral.
AACGAACGCUGGCGGCGUGGAUAAGACAUGCAAGUCGAACGAGAGAAUUGCUAGCUUGCUAAUAAUUCUCUAGUGGCGCACGGGUGAGUAACACGUGAGUAACCUGCCCCCAAGAGUGGGAUAGCCCCGGGAAACUGGGAUUAAUACCGCAUAAAAUCGCAAGAUUAAAGCAGCAAUGCGCUUGGGGAUGGGCUCGCGUCCUAUUAGUUAGUUGGUGAGGUAACGGCUCACCAAGGCGAUGACGGGUAGCCGGUCUGAGAGGAUGUCCGGCCACACUGGAACUGAGACACGGUCCAGACACCUACGGGUGGCAGCAGUCGAGAAUCAUUCACAAUGGGGGAAACCCUGAUGGUGCGACGCCGCGUGGGGGAAUGAAGGUCUUCGGAUUGUAAACCCCUGUCAUGUGGGAGCAAAUUAAAAAGAUAGUACCACAAGAG